This 119-nucleotide ribosomal RNA is filed under the name Ricinus communis (castor bean). Lineage: Eukaryota; Viridiplantae; Streptophyta; Magnoliopsida; Malpighiales; Euphorbiaceae. The record is from RNAcentral.
UGGUGCGAUCAUACCAGCACUAAUGCACCGGAUCCCAUCAGAACUCCGAAGUUAAACGUGCUUGGGCGAGAGUAGUACUAAGAUGGGUGACCUCUUGGGAAUUCCUUGUGUUGCACCCC